AAACUUGUAGCUCACCGGUAGAGCGCAGGAUCAGCCAUUAAAUCUGCCAUUAAGAGGAAGAUGGUUCAAUUCCAUCCAGGGUUU
RNAcentral lists this transfer RNA (84 nucleotides) under Blastocatellia bacterium. Its description in RNAcentral is "tRNA-OTHER". It matches the Rfam family "tRNA". Rfam says of the family: Transfer RNA (tRNA) molecules are approximately 80 nucleotides in length. Their secondary structure includes four short double-helical elements and three loops (D, anti-codon, and T loops). Further hydrogen bonds mediate the characteristic L-shaped molecular structure. tRNAs have two regions of fundamental functional importance: the anti-codon, which is responsible for specific mRNA codon recognition, and the 3' end, to which the tRNAs corresponding amino acid is attached (by aminoacyl-tRNA synthetases). tRNAs cope with the degeneracy of the genetic code in two manners: having more than one tRNA (with a specific anti-codon) for a particular amino acid; and 'wobble' base-pairing, i.e. permitting non-standard base-pairing at the 3rd anti-codon position. Lineage: Bacteria; Pseudomonadati; Acidobacteriota; Blastocatellia. The record is from RNAcentral.